UCCUGCAUCAGAUUUAUCGGUCGCAUAGGUCAUUUUCUUCUUCAUCCCUUCUCCGUUCCAGUGGUUGUGCGUGGGUAGUUCUCACAGAUAGGUAAUUUCUUCUUCUUCCCUCGUCGUUCUCGCAGAUAGCCGACAAGGGACACGUACGGCUCUUGAUUUCUGGUUGUUGUGCGUGGCGGCUCCGUUCCUUUUUGCUAGGGCUUGAAAAGUUAAAGCAUUGGGAUUAUCUUCUGCGGCAGCCUAAGCAGUACAUGAAUAGUUGGAUUUUAGCUUGCACAAAAUUGAUUGAGUGAAAGAACCUUGAAUUUCAUUCGUAAUAUGGCCACAGAAACAUCUGUUGGUAAAUCUACUAUACUUUCGUUUCUUUUUAUCUGUGGUUUAAGGUUUAUAGAUUAAAAAUACAAUUAGUUAUUAGACUUCCUUUUAAAUUAUUUAGUAUUUGUGUCUUCCUUUUUAGAGGUUGCCAAGUAAGCACCGAUCAUCACUACUCUAUUUAUGGAAUUUGUUAGUUUGAGACGUGCUGUUGAGAGGGGGGCACAGGUAAUAUUUUUUUUUUUUUAAAUUUUGCGUAGCAUAUGAUUGUGGGAUUCACAUGCAUAUUUAUUGGAAAGAAUGCAGAGAAGAAGCUUAGCCAUAAUUGAUAGAAAGUGUACUAAAAGAUUAUGCAAGCAAAAGAGUCAUAUGUUCUAAUUGUGUUGAGUUUUCAUGAAUAUGUUUUUAAAUUGCUUUUUAUGACUUGAAAUUGAGCUAUAAGAAUGUUGAGUCAUCUGAUGCAGAGCUCUGAAAUAAAGGUGAUAUGCAUAUUUGGAUCAUUGGAAUUUUGUCUUUUAGUAUUGGAAUUUUGAGGAGACUUGUGAAUCUUAUGCUUCUGCAAGCUAAUUUUUUAUUUGGCUUAGGAAUUAGUUGAAGUUGUAUGUAAAUAUUGGGCUAGAACUCAUGCCAUUAAAUUGAGCUGGAAACAAAACUUGGUCUUAUGGUUUUAUCUUAAAAUCAUACUUUUUGAAGAUUUUGUGUAUACUUGUGUUGAUUUACUUUGGAAAUCAAACUUCUGAGACAUAGUGGAAUCAUAUAGAAAAUCAUUCGUGAAGACCUUGGAAAUGUUAGUUACUCUGCUAUUGGAGCGCUUUCAAACGAGAUUCAGGAGCUUAGGGAAUCAAUAGAAAUGCCUUUAAUGAAUCCUUGGCUAUUUCUAGUGGCUGGCAUCAAACCACCCAAGUGAUGGUGAUGCUGGAUGAAUAGCAUAGUACACGGUUAAAGAAUAAGAAUUGAUUUUUAUGUAGGGUGUUCUUCUUUAUGGACCUCUUGGAAUUGGAAAGACAUUAAUAACUAGAGCAAUAGCAAGCAAUAUAGAUGCUAACCUUUUGAAGUUUUUGACUUUGUUCUCUUUGCUGUGUAUGUACAAAAUGCUUUAUAUGUGGCCUUCUAAUAAAACUUGUACUGUCAAUUGAAAAUUUAUUGCCACUGUCAUUGGAUAUGCACACAAUUAUCAGAUAAAAACUCUCAUCGAAUUAAACAUGCUUCAUUAGAUGCCUCUAUUAAAUUGACUUUAAAUUAUACGAUCUUUUUUGUUUAGCCUUGCAUCAUUUUUAUGGAUGAGAUUGAUAUCACUUGUGGACGCUGAUUCAGUGAGGGAACAGGUGCCUUGGAACUAGUAAGCUCUAAAGAACAAGCCCUUGGGUGUCUUGGAGACUUUGAUGAUGCUGUUGGUUUUCUCAUCCAUAAAUGCUGUGAUAUUAGAAAAGUUCUUAUGGCAAAGUCUAUUUGCAAUUCACAAUGCUACGGUCAUUUUUUACGGUCUUUAUUGUCUUUUGUAUAUAAUUUUAAUUUAUCAAAUUAACAUGUCCAAAAAUGUUCAGAUUUUUCUUUAUCAUUAAUGCUCCAUGUAUAUGGGUGUUGUAUUAUU
This is a long non-coding RNA of Prosopis cineraria, 1903 nucleotides long. RefSeq lists it as uncharacterized. The transcript is spliced from 2 exons. NCBI's taxonomy places the organism in Eukaryota, Viridiplantae, Streptophyta, Magnoliopsida, Fabales, Fabaceae. The record is from RefSeq and is a predicted model, not a curated record.